UACGUAGGGUGCUAGCGUUGUUCGGAAUCAUUGGGCGUAAAGCGCGUGUAGGCGGCUAAUUAAGUCGAGUGUGAAAUCCCUAGGCUCAACCUAGGAAGUGCAUCCGAAACUCAUUAGCUGGAAGACGGUAGAGGAAGGUAGAAUUCCUAGUGUAGAGGUGAAAUUCGUAGAUAUUAGGAGGAACACCGGUGGCGAAGGCGGCCUUCUGGACCGUUCUUGACGCUGAGACGCGAAAGCGUGGGGAGCAAACAGG
Molecule: ribosomal RNA, 253 nt
Filed under: uncultured bacterium
Lineage: Bacteria
Description: partial 16S ribosomal RNA
Rfam family: Bacterial small subunit ribosomal RNA
Source: RNAcentral